Arabidopsis thaliana (thale cress) is the source of this 119-nucleotide ribosomal RNA. The record is from Rfam. Lineage: Eukaryota; Viridiplantae; Streptophyta; Magnoliopsida; Brassicales; Brassicaceae.
AGAUGCGAUCAUACCAGCACUAAUGCACCGAGUCCCUUUAGAACUUCGCAGCUAAUUUUGCUUGUGUAAGUUUAGUCCUAGGAUGGGUGACUUCCCGGGAAGUCCUCGUUUUGCAUCCC